AGCCUGAACGCUGGCGGCGUGGCUAAGACAUGCAAGUCGCACGGGGUCGCAAGAUCCGGUGGCGAACGGGAGAGUAAUGGAUCGCUAACGUACCCUGGAUUCCGGGAUAGCUAUCCGAAAGGGUAGGUAAUACCGGAUGAUAUCACCGACAGGCAUCUGUUGGUGCUCAAAGGAGCAAUCCGCUCUGGGAGCGGGCGA
Molecule: ribosomal RNA, 198 nt
Filed under: uncultured soil bacterium
Lineage: Bacteria
Description: partial 16S ribosomal RNA
Rfam family: Bacterial small subunit ribosomal RNA
Source: RNAcentral